CCUUCGGGAACCGAGUAGAGUGGCGCACGGGUGAGUAACACGUAGGUAAUUUGCCUUUGGGUGGGGAAUAACUCAGGGAAACUUGAGCUAAUACCGCAUAAUGCAGCGGCUCGACAUCGAGACAGUUGUUAAAGCGGGGGAUUCGCAAGAACCUCGCGCCUGAAGAGAAGCCUGCGGCAGAUUAGCUAGUUGGCAGGGUAAUGGCCUACCAAGGCGACGAUCUGUAACCGGCCUGAGAGGGCGGUCGGUCACACUGACACUGACAUACGGGUCAGACUCCUACGGGAGGCAGCAGUCGGGAAUUUUGGGCAAUGGGCGAAAGCCUGACCCAGCAACGCCGCGUGAAGGAUGAAAUUUUUCGGAAUGUAAACUUCGCAAGAACAGGAAGAAUAAGUGGGGGACAAUACCCCCCAUGAUGACGGUACUGUUUGUAAGCUCCGGCUAACUCCGUGCCAGCAGCCGCGGUAAUACGGGGGGAGCAAGCGUUGUUCGGAUUUACUGGGCGUAAAGGGCGCGUAGGCGGCGUGACAAGUCACUUGUGAAAUCUCCGGGCUUAACUCGGAACGGUCAAGUGAUACUGUCGUGCUAGAGUACAGAAGGGGCAACUGGAAUUCUCGGUGUAGCGGUGAAAUGCGUAGAUAUCGAGAGGAACACCUGCGGCGAAGGCGGGUUGCUGGGCUGAUACUGACGCUGAAGCGCGAAAGCCAGGGAGCGAACGGGAUU
This 723-nucleotide ribosomal RNA is filed under the name uncultured bacterium. Its description in RNAcentral is "bacterial SSU rRNA". It matches the Rfam family "Bacterial small subunit ribosomal RNA", at positions 77 to 779 of the family's 1533-position model. The record is from RNAcentral.